RNAcentral lists this ribosomal RNA (115 nucleotides) under Paenibacillus polymyxa. RNAcentral describes it as "partial 23S ribosomal RNA". It matches the Rfam family "Bacterial large subunit ribosomal RNA", at positions 2805 to 2925 of the family's 2925-position model. Lineage: Bacteria; Bacillati; Bacillota; Bacilli; Caryophanales; Paenibacillaceae. The record is from RNAcentral.
UGAGAUUUCCCAAUUAGUAAGACCCCUUGAAGACGACGAGGUAGAUAGGUUGGGGGUGGAAGUGCAGUAAUGCAUGGAGCUGACCAAUACUAAUCGGUCGAGGGCUUAUCCUAAA